AACUCAGCAGUAUAUAUACCCGGCUCUCCAUCCCCUCAUCGCCAGAUCGUUGUUUCAACUACUGCGGUAGACUAUGGAUCACAAAUCACCCACCUGCCUUCCUGCUCAGCCAUCUGCCUCAACCUGCUCUCUGGACUCAGAACUGCUCAGCCACACUCACACCCCUACUUAGGUCUGGUCAGCCUUCGUCCCCUUCACUCUGCUAACUUCUGGAAUCUUCAACCCAUCUUCAUCUCCAUUUGCCGCAAUAAACCUCAUUACCAAUCAA
Non-coding RNA from Labrus bergylta (ballan wrasse), 268 nucleotides. Lineage: Eukaryota; Metazoa; Chordata; Actinopteri; Labriformes; Labridae. The record is from RefSeq and is a predicted model, not a curated record.